GAGACACCCUUCUGGGGCAAGACUUGCUUCAGUGGGGCUUUGGUGCUCACUGAGUCUUCCCCCUGACUGUGUCCCU
Myotis lucifugus (little brown bat) is the source of this 76-nucleotide non-coding RNA. Lineage: Eukaryota; Metazoa; Chordata; Mammalia; Chiroptera; Vespertilionidae. The record is from Rfam.